GUCAGUGUGGCCGAGUGGUUAAGGCGAUUGACUCGAAUUUUCAUUCGAUAUCAAUUCCAUUCGUGGGCACAGGUUCGAAUCCUGUCGCUGACG
This is a transfer RNA of 93 nucleotides. It matches the Rfam family "tRNA". Rfam says of the family: Transfer RNA (tRNA) molecules are approximately 80 nucleotides in length. The record is from Rfam.